This 253-nucleotide unclassified non-coding RNA is filed under the name uncultured Planctomycetia bacterium. RNAcentral's name for it is "contains 16S-23S intergenic spacer region". It matches the Rfam family "Bacterial small subunit ribosomal RNA", at positions 524 to 776 of the family's 1533-position model. The record is from RNAcentral. Lineage: Bacteria; Pseudomonadati; Planctomycetota; Planctomycetia.
GACGAACCGUGCAAACGUUGUUCGGAAUCACUGGGCUUAAAGGGCGCGUAGGCGGGCUCUCAAGUCAGGGGUGAAAUCUUUCGGCCCAACCGGAAAAGGGCCCCUGAUACUGAGAGCCUCGAGGGAGGUAGGGGUCGAUGGAACUUCCGGUGGAGCGGUGAAAUGCGUAGAUAUCGGAAGGAACGCCGGUGGCGAAAGCGAUCGACUGGACCUCUUCUGACGCUGAGGCGCGAAAGCCAGGGGAGCGAACGGG